UGUCAUGGGGCUUAGUGGUAGAGCACUUGCUUAGCACGCACAAAGCCCUGGGUUCCAUCCCCAGCACCACAA
RNAcentral lists this transfer RNA (72 nucleotides) under Ictidomys tridecemlineatus (thirteen-lined ground squirrel). RNAcentral describes it as "Spermophilus tridecemlineatus (thirteen-lined ground squirrel) tRNA". It matches the Rfam family "tRNA". Rfam says of the family: Transfer RNA (tRNA) molecules are approximately 80 nucleotides in length. Their secondary structure includes four short double-helical elements and three loops (D, anti-codon, and T loops). The record is from Rfam by way of RNAcentral. Lineage: Eukaryota; Metazoa; Chordata; Mammalia; Rodentia; Sciuridae.